RNAcentral lists this ribosomal RNA (920 nucleotides) under Strasseria geniculata. Its description in RNAcentral is "LSU rRNA". It matches the Rfam family "Eukaryotic large subunit ribosomal RNA", at positions 33 to 967 of the family's 3401-position model. Lineage: Eukaryota; Fungi; Ascomycota; Leotiomycetes; Phacidiales; Phacidiaceae. The record is from RNAcentral.
AUUAAGCAUAUCAAUAAGCGGAGGAAAAAGAAACCAACAGGGAUUGCCUCAGUAACGGCGAGUGAAGCGGCAACAGCUCAAAUUUGAAAUCUGGCCCUUUCAGGGUCCGAGUUGUAAUUUGUAGAGGAUGUUUCGGGUGUGGCUCCGGUCUAAGUUCCUUGGAACAGGACGUCAUAGAGGGUGAGAAUCCCGUAUGUGACUGGUAGCCUAUGCUCAUGUGAAACUCCUUCGACGAGUCGAGUUGUUUGGGAAUGCAGCUCAAAAUGGGUGGUAAAUUUCAUCUAAAGCUAAAUAUUGGCCAGAGACCGAUAGCGCACAAGUAGAGUGAUCGAAAGAUGAAAAGCACUUUGGAAAGAGAGUUAAACAGUACGUGAAAUUGUUGAAAGGGAAGCGCUUGCAACCAGACUUGCAUGUAGCUGAUCAACCGGUGUUCUCACCGGUGCACUCAGUUGCGUUCAGGCCAGCAUCGGUUUCGACGGUUGGAUAAAGGCCUUGGGAAUGUAGCUUCUUUCGGGGAGUGUUAUAGCCCAGGGUGCAAUGCAGCCUGUUGGGACCGAGGACCGCGCUUCGGCUAGGAUGCUGGCGUAAUGGUUGUAAGCGACCCGUCUUGAAACACGGACCAAGGAGUCUAACAUCUAUGCGAGUGUUUGGGUGUCAAACCCAUACGCGUAAUGAAAGUGAACGGAGGUGAGAACCCUUAAGGGUGCAUCAUCGACCGAUCCUGAUGUCUUCGGAUGGAUUUGAGUAAGAGCAUAGCUGUUGGGACCCGAAAGAUGGUGAACUAUGCCUGAAUAGGGUGAAGCCAGAGGAAACUCUGGUGGAGGCUCGCAGCGGUUCUGACGUGCAAAUCGAUCGUCAAAUUUGGGUAUAGGGGGCGAAAGACUAAUCGAACCAUCUAGUAGCUGGGUUCCUGCCGAAGU